GACGAACGCUGGCGGCGUGCUUAACACAUGCAAGUCGUACGGUAAGGCCCUUUCGGGGGUACACGAGUGGCGAACGGGUGCGUAACACGUGAGUAACCUUCCCACAACUUUGGGAUAACGCUAGGAAACUGGUGCUAAUACUGGAUAUGUGCUCCUGCUGCAUGGUGGGGGUUGGAAAGCUCCGGCGGUUGUGGCUGGCCUUGCGGCCUAUCAGCUUGUUGGUGGGGUAGUGGCCUACCAAGGCGGCGACGGGUAGCCGGCCUGCGAGGGUGACCGGCCACAUUGGGACUGAGAUACGGCCCAGACUCCUACGGGAGGCAGCAGUGGGGAAUAUUGCACAAUGGGCGCAAGCCUGAUGCAGCAACGCCGCGUGCGGGAUGACGGCCUUCGGGUUGUAAACCGCUUUCAGCAGGGACGAAGCUUUUUGUGACGGUACCUGCAGAAGAAGCACCGGCUAACUACGUG
RNAcentral lists this ribosomal RNA (465 nucleotides) under uncultured bacterium. RNAcentral's name for it is "partial 16S ribosomal RNA". It matches the Rfam family "Bacterial small subunit ribosomal RNA", at positions 28 to 507 of the family's 1533-position model. The record is from RNAcentral.